UGGUGGCUUGGUUAGUUUCUGUACUAAAAUUGGAUUGUUGAAAAGCUCUUAAAGACAGUCAUGUGCUCAUGCGAUAGAGCUGGGCACAUGACUGUCUUUAAGAGCUUAGGCGAAGUCUGGGCACUCGCAUGAAAAAUAUGAUAAUUUACAAUAAUUAUCCUGGAAUUAUAAAUAUUCGUACAAAUAUACCUGUAUUUUCCAAAUAUUAAUAAAAUACCAUAGUGCUUAGUUGGACUGUUGGAGUAUCACCUGAGGUCUGAAGGGUUGCCAGAGGUCUGUGGAAUUAGGAUUUAUAGACAGCUAGAGAGAGAUAGUCGUUGGGAAAUAGG
RNAcentral lists this long non-coding RNA (329 nucleotides) under Zostera marina. RNAcentral describes it as "long non-coding RNA (ZMAR_LNC003078)". Lineage: Eukaryota; Viridiplantae; Streptophyta; Magnoliopsida; Alismatales; Zosteraceae. The record is from RNAcentral.